This 493-nucleotide long non-coding RNA is filed under the name Mus pahari (shrew mouse). RNAcentral describes it as "lncRNA (MGP_PahariEiJ_G0005157.1)". Lineage: Eukaryota; Metazoa; Chordata; Mammalia; Rodentia; Muridae. The record is from RNAcentral.
UACAGUGUGGAAACACCAUCACUGAUAAUGUCAGACUCGGAGCUGGAGGAUAAAGAGAACAUCUCACAGGUUUUUGCACCUCAUAACUUGUCAGUUCCUGAACAGCAGCAGGAGACGCUUCUGCUUUGACUCGCCUAGGCCCUUGGCGCCACCUGCUGGUCUCAUCGCGCCAAUGCAGCUCUGAUCCGUGGAGAAUCCAUGCCUACCUUCUGAGCCAAACCUGAGAAAAUCGGGAAUUUCCUACCACCUGGAAGACUAGAUCCAAAUCCUCAGGGACAGCUCUGUCUUCAGUGCCUAGAUGGAGGAUCUGAGAGCAGUUAACGCUCGGGAAGCGGAGUACAUGAAGCACAGAGAUACAGCACAGUGGCACGGAGAAGAGGAGGAAAGGUACGGAAGCUCUGAGAAGAGCAAGAUCAGCUGCCAGGCCUCACCUGCACCCCCUUUUUUUCAGCAUUGGCCCAUCCAGGCCCCUGGACAGAGCUCAGCCUGUCCA